RNAcentral lists this ribosomal RNA (775 nucleotides) under uncultured Neocallimastigales. RNAcentral's name for it is "partial large subunit ribosomal RNA". It matches the Rfam family "Eukaryotic large subunit ribosomal RNA", at positions 26 to 621 of the family's 3401-position model. Lineage: Eukaryota; Fungi; Neocallimastigomycota; Neocallimastigomycetes; Neocallimastigales. The record is from RNAcentral.
CGCAUCUGUGCAUGCAGCAUAUCAAUAAGCGGAGGAAAAGAAACUAACAAGGAUUCCCUUAGUAACGGCGAGUGAAGCGGGAAGAGCUCAAAUUUGAAAUCUUCAAGGGUUCUACCUUUACGAAUUGUAGUUUAAAGAAGUGUUUUCUGUUGAGGUUGAGUACAAAGUUCCUUGGAAUGGACAUCAUAGAGGGUGAGAAUCCCGUAUUUGACUUAUUCAUUCUAACUUUGUGAUACGCUUUCAAAGAGUCGGAUUGUUUGGGAAUGCAGUCCAAAAUGGGUGGUAAAUUUCAUCUAAAGCUAAAUAUUGGCGAGAGACCGAUAGCGAACAAGUACCGUGAGGGAAAGAUGAAAAGAACUUUGAAAAGAGAGUUAAACAGUACGUGAAAUUGUCAAAAGGGAAGCGUUUGACACCAGCGUUGUUUUUCCGAAAAUCAAUUACGAAUGGCUUGAUUUUGUGUUGUAUUGACCUUAUCAGCUUUCUUCACUUUUUUCGAGUCUUCCUUAAUGCACUUUUCGGUUAACAAGUCAACAUCAAUUUCUUUUGUUGUAAAAGAGUAUUCGGAAGGUGGCUUUCUUUUCGGAGAAAGUGUUUAUAGCCCUAUACUUCUACAAUCGGAGGGAUUGAGGUCUGCAGCGUAGAUCCUUCGGGGUUAGAUACAUUUGUGCUAAGUUGUAGCUUUUCAUAGACAACUUGUUGACUAUGUUUAGUCAUGCGGCUUACUCGCUUAUGCUAUUUUACCUACGCUUAGGAUGUUGAACUCUAUCACACACAG